UAAUGUUUUUGAAUUGUACACUCUAUAAUUUUUUUUAGGUAAUAAACAGGUAGGUGUCCGCCAAACCCCCCGCCUAGGCACAGGCGAUUUUUGCAAAAAAAAAAAAAAAAGACUGUGCCAGCAACCGCGGUAAUUCCAGCUCCAAUAGCGUAUAUUUAAGUUGUUGCAGUUAAAAAGCUCGUAGUUGGACCUUGGGUUGGGCCGGCCGGUCCGCCUCUGGUGUGCACCGGUCGUCUCGUCCCUUCUGCCGGCGAUGCGCUCUUGGUCUUAACUGGUCGCGUCGUGCCUCCGGCGCUGUUACUUUGAAGAAAUUAGAGUGCUCAAAGCAAGCCUACGCUCUGUAUACAUUAGCAUGGGAUAACAUUAUAGGAUUUCGGUCCUAUUAUGUUGGCCUUCGGGAUCGGAGUAAUGAUUAACAGGGACAGUCGGGGGCACUCGGAUUUCAGCG
Non-coding RNA from Sesamum indicum (sesame), 448 nucleotides. NCBI's taxonomy places the organism in Eukaryota, Viridiplantae, Streptophyta, Magnoliopsida, Lamiales, Pedaliaceae. The record is from RefSeq and is a predicted model, not a curated record.